Molecule: ribosomal RNA, 526 nt
Filed under: uncultured bacterium
Lineage: Bacteria
Description: bacterial SSU rRNA
Rfam family: Bacterial small subunit ribosomal RNA
Source: RNAcentral
ACAUCCAGAGAAUUUAGCAGAGAUGCUUUAGUGCCUUCGGGAACUCUGAGACAGGUGCUGCAUGGCUGUCGUCAGCUCGUGUUGUGAAAUGUUGGGUUAAGUCCCGCAACGAGCGCAACCCUUAUCCUUUGUUGCCAGCACGUAAUGGUGGGAACUCAAGGGAGACUGCCGGUGAUAAACCGGAGGAAGGUGGGGAUGACGUCAAGUCAUCAUGGCCCUUACGAGUAGGGCUACACACGUGCUACAAUGGCGCAUACAAAGAGAAGCGACCUCGCGAGAGCAAGCGGACCUCAUAAAGUGCGUCGUAGUCCGGAUUGGAGUCUGCAACUCGACUCCAUGAAGUCGGAAUCGCUAGUAAUCGUAAAUCAGAAUGUUACGGUGAAUACGUUCCCGGGCCUUGUACACACCGCCCGUCACACCAUGGGAGUGGGUUGCAAAAGAAGUAGAUAGCUUAACCUUCGGGAGGGCGUUUACCACUUUGUGAUUCAUGACUGGGGUGAAGUCGUAACAAGGUAGGCGUAGUGCU